UACGGAGGGUGCAAGCAUUGAUCGGAAUUACUGGGCGUAAAGGGCGCGUAGGCGGCUUUAAAAGUCGGAUGUGAAAUUCCGGGGCUCAACCCCGGAGCUGCAUUUGAAACUCUAAAGCUAGAGUACAGUUAGGGAAAACGGAAUUCCACGUGUAGCGGUGAAAUGCGUAGAUAUGUGGAAGAACACCGGUGGUGAAGAUGGUUUUCUGGGCUGUAACUGACGCUGAGGCGCGAAAGCAAGGGGAGCAAACAGG
RNAcentral lists this ribosomal RNA (253 nucleotides) under uncultured bacterium. RNAcentral describes it as "partial 16S ribosomal RNA". It matches the Rfam family "Bacterial small subunit ribosomal RNA", at positions 524 to 776 of the family's 1533-position model. The record is from RNAcentral.